Molecule: long non-coding RNA, 1790 nt
Organism: Sparus aurata (gilthead seabream)
Lineage: Eukaryota; Metazoa; Chordata; Actinopteri; Spariformes; Sparidae
Source: Ensembl
AUGGGAGCUAUUUGGGCCUUUGUCGUUUGUGUCCUGACUGUUUGGCUUGCCAAAGGCUCUUGUUUGCCAGUUGAUGGGACAAAUAAAAGGAAUGAUCAUGGGCUUCAGAGGAAGAUGGAAGAUUUGUCUCCCAAUGGGCUCUCAUUAAAGAAGACCGUUGCACUUCUCCAGUCGAUGGAGUCCAUUUUGGAGCAAGAUGCUAAGGAAGUACAACUGGAAACCAAUGGUGUGGAAGCUGAGUCAUCAUUUGGCCAUGUGAGACUUGUACAGACCCUGAACAGACCAAAACCACUCAAAACUGAGAAGGUCCCUGUACACACUGCCAUGGACUGCGGCACCUUCCCUGGUGCGACCAGUGGUGGCAGCAGCAACGGCAGCAGCGUGGCCGACGGCGCUGGCGGCGGCAACAACGGCAGCAGCGUGGCCGACGGCAGCAACAAUGGCGGCAACAACGGCAGCAGCGUGGCCGACGGCAGCAACAAUGGCGGCAACAACGGCAGCAGCGUGGCCGACGGCAGCAACAAUGGCGGCAACAACGGCAGCAGCGUGGCCAACGGCAGUAACAAUGGCGGCAACAACGGCAGCAGCGUGGCAGACGGCAGCAACAAUGGCGGCAACAACGGCAGCAGCGUGGCCGACGGCGCUGGCGGCGGCAACAACGGCAGCAGCGUGGCCGACGGCGCUGGCGGCGGCAACAACGGCAGCAGCGUGGCCGACGGCAGCAACAAUGGCAGCAGCGUGGCCGACGGCAGCAACAAUGGCGGCAACAACGGCAGCAGCGUGGCCGACGGCAGCAACAAUGGCGGCAACAACGGCAGCAGCGUGGCCGACGGCAGCAACAAUGGCGGCAACAACGGCAGCAGCGUGGCCGACGGCAGCAACAAUGGCGGCAACAACGGCAGCAGCGUGGCCGACGGCAGCAACAAUGGCGGCAACAACGGCAGCAACAAUGGCGGCAACAACGGCAGCAGCGUGGCCGACGGCAGCAACAAUGGCGGCAACAACGGCAGCAGCCUGGCCGACGGCGCUGGCGGCGGCAACAACGGCAGCAGCGUGGCCGAAGGCAGCAACAAUGGCGGCAGCAGCGUGGCAGACGGCGCUGGCGGCGGCAACAACGGCAGCAGCGUGGCCGACGGCAGCAACAAUGGCGGCAGCAGCGUGGCCGACGUCGCUGGCGGCGGCAACAACGGCAGCAGCGUGGCCGACGUCGCUGGCGGCGGCAACAACGGCAGCACGGCAACGGCGGCGGCACCUUCCCCGGCCACGGCAACGGCGGCGGCACCUUCCCCGGCCACGGCAACGGCGGCACCUUCCCCAGCCGCGGCAACCGUGGCAUCUUCCCCACAACUGUGGCAGCAAUCAGCCACAGCAGUAGCGUGGCCGUCACAAGUGAACCCCAGAGCUGAUCACAAACUGCUGUGACCACACUGCUAAAGUAGGGAAUAGGUUUGCGGAAUCAUGCAAGAGCUCAGUUUAAGAUAUUUCUGUAUGUCCCAAGUUUUCUACUUUAAAUAAAACUCUUAACUGAUAUGUUUCCCUAUUUCUUCUUUCCCAGAUGGGUUAAAAGACCUUACUGGGUUUUUGUGCCAAGCAAAUGAAACUUGGUUUUGUUUGCAAACAUUGAGACCUUAUGGCCAGAGUUGUCAGGUAAAGUGUUGCCAAGGUAAUGCUUUGAUACGUUUGUGGCCUUUUCCUGGUCAGUUUCUGGAGAGCAGUUUGCAGCAGUGAUGUCAGGCGUACAAACAAUGGCAAUAUUUCCACCAUGAAAAAGCAUGAAGCCAGAAGCCAAA